RNAcentral lists this small RNA (67 nucleotides) under Lysinibacillus xylanilyticus. RNAcentral describes it as "Bacillaceae-1 RNA". It matches the Rfam family "Bacillaceae-1 RNA". The record is from RNAcentral. Lineage: Bacteria; Bacillati; Bacillota; Bacilli; Caryophanales; Bacillaceae.
CAGUAGGGAACGAAGGUUAAUAGCAUCACGUCUUGUGGUGAUGCCUUCGUGACCAACAUCCGGAUUG